RNAcentral lists this small RNA (588 nucleotides) under Pan troglodytes (chimpanzee). Its description in RNAcentral is "retained intron". Lineage: Eukaryota; Metazoa; Chordata; Mammalia; Primates; Hominidae. The record is from RNAcentral.
ACACGGUGGAGACACCGGCUAGGCCAGGGGGCCUGCCCUUGGGACAGGUCCAGACCCAUGGAGCCCCCCGGGAGGAGCAGCAGGUCCACAGCGUCUCAUACUCUACACCAGUAUUGCUGUCCUACUCAGGUCCUUGACUCCAUGAAGCUUACCCCCUCAGGCAGGCUGGCAGAGAGCAGGUAAGAGCUAGACCCAUCCCUCCCCCAAUUCCUCCUCCUUCCAGACAAAUAUACAGUGUCAUUGCCAGCCCCUCCCACCUCCCUGAGCCCCCGCUGUGCCUGUGGAAUGGGUGUCCGAGUGUAUGAGGAGAGUGCCUGGAAGAUCAGGUCAGCAGACCAAAGAGGACAUUUGGGAUCUAUCUAAUUUGUCCUUCCUUAAAAAAAUCCUUCCCUAGAGACCUGCCCCAAAAGGCCUGAGUGGUUGGUCCUAGACUAUGUGAUAAUCCAGCUUUUUUAAAGGAUGAAUAGGAGUUUGCCAGUUGGAUAGACUGAGGAAGGGCAGUUAGGCAGAGGGAACAAUCUGCCCAUAUCUUUGGAGAAUGUUAUUUCUUUUUUUUUUUUCUGAGAUGGAGUCUUGCUCUGUCGCCCA